CCUACCCCCAGCUCCAGCAUAAGACAGACUGCGGAACUGCCCAUGAGGCCAAGCACCUAUUAGUAGACCAAGAAGCAUCACCCAUCCAUGGCCUAAGUCGGCAGCCAGCUAUUGUUCUCAUCUGAGUCUGGGAGUUCAGGAUUUCCAUCCUGACCCGGCUACUUUCUUUCAACAGUUACCCACUGUAAAUUUCCGAAUACUUUCAGCUACUAAUCCCAGUGUACCCAAUUAAAAAUGGCUUUCCUAAUAAAGGCAUUUCAGAU
RNAcentral lists this long non-coding RNA (263 nucleotides) under Homo sapiens (human). RNAcentral's name for it is "non-protein coding lnc-IL4R-2:19". The record is from RNAcentral. Lineage: Eukaryota; Metazoa; Chordata; Mammalia; Primates; Hominidae.